This 253-nucleotide ribosomal RNA is filed under the name uncultured bacterium. RNAcentral's name for it is "partial 16S ribosomal RNA". It matches the Rfam family "Bacterial small subunit ribosomal RNA", at positions 524 to 776 of the family's 1533-position model. The record is from RNAcentral.
UACGGGGGGGGCAAGCGUUGUUCGGAAUUACUGGGCGUAAAGGGCUCGUAGGCGGCCAACUAAGUCAUACGUGAAAUCCCCAGGCUCAACCUGGGAACUGCGUCUGAUACUGGUUGGCUUGAAUCCGGGAGAGGGAUGCAGAAUUCCAGGUGUAGCGGUGAAAUGCGUAGAUAUCUGGAGGAAUACCGGUGGCGAAGGCGGCAUCCUGGACCGGCAUUGACGCUGAGGAGCGAAAGCCAGGGGAGCAAACGGG